Molecule: ribosomal RNA, 431 nt
Filed under: uncultured bacterium
Lineage: Bacteria
Description: bacterial SSU rRNA
Rfam family: Bacterial small subunit ribosomal RNA
Source: RNAcentral
GCGAACGCUGGCGGCGUGGAUAAGGCAUGCAAGUCGAACGAGACCUUCGGGUCUAGUGGCGCACGGGUGCGUAACGCGUGGGAAUCUGCCCCUCGGUUCGGAAUAACAGUUAGAAAUGACUGCUAAUACCGGAUAAUGACGUAAGUCCAAAGAUUUAUCGCCGAGGGAUGAGCCCGCGUAGGAUUAGCUUGUUGGUGGGGUAAUGGCCCACCAAGGCGACGAUCCUUAGCUGGUCUGAGAGGAUGAUCAGCCACACUGGGACUGAGACACGGCCCAGACUCCUACGGGAGGCAGCAGUGGGGAAUAUUGGACAAUGGGCGAAAGCCUGAUCCAGCAAUGCCGCGUGAGUGAUGAAGGCCUUAGGGUUGUAAAGCUCUUUUACCAGUGAUGAUAAUGACAGUACCUGGAGAAUAAGCUCCGGCUAACUCCGU